GAUGAACGCUGGCGGCGUGCCUAAUACAUGCAAGUCGAGCGAACGGACGAGAAGCUUGCUUUUCUGAUGUUAGCGGCGGACGGGUGAGUAACACGUGGAUAACCUACCUAUAAGACUGGGAUAACUUCGGGAAACCGGAGCUAAUACCGGAUAAUAUUUUGAACCGCAUGGUUCAAAAGUGAAAGACGGUCUUGCUGUCACUUAUAGAUGGAUCCGCGCUGCAUUAGCUAGUUGGUAAGGUAACGGCUUACCAAGGCAACGAUGCAUAGCCGACCUGAGAGGGUGAUCGGCCACACUGGAACUGAGACACGGUCCAGACUCCUACGGGAGGCAGCAGUAGGGAAUCUUCCGCAAUGGGCGAAAGCCUGACGGAGCAACGCCGCGUGAGUGAUGAAGGUCUGCGGAUCGUAAAACUCUGUUAUUAGGGAAGAACAUAUGUGUAAGUAACUGUGCACAUCUUGACGGUACCUAAUCAGAAAGCCACGGCUAACUAC
RNAcentral lists this ribosomal RNA (494 nucleotides) under uncultured bacterium. RNAcentral's name for it is "partial 16S ribosomal RNA". It matches the Rfam family "Bacterial small subunit ribosomal RNA", at positions 28 to 504 of the family's 1533-position model. The record is from RNAcentral.